UUUGGUUUCUUAUUUUCUUGAUUUUUGGAAUAGCUGUUGCAUAGAAUUGUUUAAACAUAGUAAAUUAUUGGUCGAUCACUCUCUGUUCCUUUAUCCAGAAAAAUCUAGGACGAAUAUCUUAUUACAAAAGAAAGUGAUUAUAAACUACCAGUUGACUUCCCAACCCUUCGAACUAGACAUUAUGGGGUGCAGACGUUCACCACAUGAUAUUGAAAAUAAAAUUGGUAUGCUACAACAUCGAUCCAAACGCUAUAGUUUGACACUAAAAAAGUAAAAUCAAAAUUCUUGUUUCGACAAGGUUAGACAUUAGAAUCUGAUUCAAGAACACAAGGGAUCGACUUGAAAAGGGAGGGAUCGAGCAUGAUUUUCAGAUAAUACGCUAUUGAUACUAAUCUUUCUACUGCAUGAUUUUCAAAAGGUUUGCAUUAUUUGAAAAUUUCAUUAUUUUUAAAAGGUUUAUUAGUUGGAGUUCAUAAUGAUUUUCCGAAGGGAUAAGUUGGAUUAAACUUAUUUGUUUCUACUAAAUAGUCCAAAAUUACAUAUGUACAAUAUGUUCCUCAAGGGGACCAAUUAGCUUAGGUUUUCCGUCUUGCAAUUAGGGACUGAUAAGACAAGUGGGUGAGGGCUUGCUAGAGCAAAGGCAUUUAUGGGAGUUAUGAAUGCAGUUGCAUUAAAUUCUCAACUGAAGCCGCUUUUCCUAACUAGGAUUAUAGGUUCAUGAUCUUUAAGCUAUAAAUAAGUUUAGUUUAUUGUGAAUGUUAAUGCAUUAUUUCUUCUUUACUUGCAAUUUUAUAGUAAAAAGGAACUAUUAACCAGUAAUCGAUAUUGCAAAUUAUGUUACUGUGUUUGAUGUUGUUGUAUUAGUACUCUGCUGCAUUUUUGUUCUGGUAACCAAAAAGAAUAAAGUGCCUAAUCAUAUUUAUAUGGUUCUUUAUAGAAAUAGCUCAUAUUAGCAAAGCGAAUUGUAAUAUGAAGCAAUAACUGUAGAAUUAUAGUUGGAUUUAAUAGUUAGUAUCGUAAAACUGAUUAAUUGAUAAUAUUUUCCAUUCCUGUUUUCAAUUUUAUUCUCAACAUCCCCCUGCCAAAAAGUUUUUUGUGUUCUGCUUCUGGCUGCAAUGAAAGAGCACCGAUCUAUAUUUAGCAUAUAAACUUCACAAAGUAAUUUUAUUGUCUUACAAUUUGAUGAUCUUUAAGCUAUAACUAAGUUUAGGUCAUUGUCAGCUUUCCAACGUGAUUUACUAUGGUGUACGCUCAUUAGAUUCGGUAAGAAUCACUUAAGUUUUAUUACUUUUGUUGUAAUUUAUUACUGGAAAUAAUUUAAUCCUUUUAAUAGACUUGGCCAAGGAAAAAGCACAGGUCUGUAUUUAGUGUAUAAAUUUCAUAAAAUAAUGUCAUUGUCUUAUAAUUGAUAAUUGACAAUCUUUAAGCUAUAAAUAUUAGGCGAUUGUCAAAAUUAAUGCAUUAGUUGCUCUUUACUUACAUUUUAUCCUACAAUCUGUGUAUUUAUUGUCAUUAUAUGAGUUCUCUGCUGCAUUCUUAUUUUGGUAGCUAUAAAGAAUAGAGUACCUAAUGAUGUUGAAACAAAGGAGAAUUUUGAUGCAGCUAAAGGGCUUGACAAUAUGCUUAACAACUGAACAUUUUUCCCGCUCAGCUGAAGUUAUUUCUUCAGUGGCUUUGCAGUGCCAAAUCUUCAAUUGCUAAUAAAAAGUUGUACUUAUCUUUGUGGUUCAGAUUUUCUAACAGAAAUAAAGCUAGAACAAGAUCAAGAUCACUAGCACUGAUCCAAACUCCUUGACAUCAGUUUCAUGUAAAACUGAUCAAUACUACCAUGGUUGUUGACAUAACCUUUAUUAAGAAAAAAUCAUGUUCUAGACCAAGUAAGUCAACAUGUGCUUCUACUGCUACAUAUGGUGACGGUGAGUAUCUUGCUUGCUCUCUUUCUGGCAUUUCAUUUUUUUGCUCUAAAUGAACUCAAUUUUAAUUUGCCGAUAAUUGUUUUCUGAAAAUAGGUUGACAUACUCCUAUAAACAUUGAUAUUUUCUACCUUAUCAAAAAAAAAAAAUAUUGAUCUUUCCCCGAGCAAUGCGCUACGUCCUACAAUGUUGAAGAACCGAUUUGCUGACACCAUCAUCAAAGUGAAACGGAAAUCUCUUUCACUUGAUGAGUGUAUUUCGUAUCACAUAGUUGAAUCAGCAUGAUAAGUCUAAUCUGCAGUCUGAAAUAGCCUAUCUCUUAUCCAACAAUAUUCUUUCGUAUUCGACAGUAAUAGCUUUAAUGCAGAUUUUCCUAAUCGCCUGUGUUGUUUUCUUUUGUCAUGCUUUAACUCAAGCUUGGUCUCUUUCAUCCAUAGUAUUAUAUUCUUGUGUCAGCAUCAUACUAAUUGAGUUUGUUCAUCCUUACGUCAUAGGUGUCUUGUUAUACUAAAUGGCAAUUUGAAGAAUUUGUUUAUUGAAGCACAUAUUGAUUUUGACAUUAUAUUAGAAGUAUUAGUAUAAUAAUCGCAUAGAAAAACUGAUAACUAGAUUUCUUUUUAUUUCUAGGUAGGUUGAAGAUUGCACUGGACAUACUACUUUUCUUUCCUUUUCUUGUUCUUUGUACUGAAAUUUCUGCUACUUCUUUCUUCUGUUGAAGUGUAUUCUGUUCGGUAAAUAUACGGUUUUACAGUGAGUGUAGCAUUAAAGUUGUAGGUUAAUGGACUUUCAAAUGAGAAAAAGUCCAAUAGUCCAUUCUUUCUAAUGUUCUGCAUGUUUAUUGACUUCAGUUGGUCUGCUAUAAAAAGGUAUACCACAGAUGUGAAGCUCUAUAAUCAGGAAUUCAACAAACACGUUUUGUAGAGAAAAAGUGAUCAUGUGUCACCAACCAUUUGCUACUAUAUUCUGGUAGUAAUAACGUUAUUGCAGAUCUAUGGAUGUUCCUCUAAGAUAACCCUAAUAAUAUUAUUGCAUAUCUAUAGAUGUUUCUUUAAGACCACUUUUCAUUUCGUUUCACUGUGAGAAACUUUAUUUCUCAUGAUUUGUUAUUGUUUUAUUCAUUUCAUUUGAUAGGGUAAUCUUUAUGGUCAAGAUAUUACCAGUAUAAGGUAUGAAAAAAAAUCCCUUUAGAAAUGCAAGGUAGUUAGACUUUACACAAUAGACCAACUGUGCUUCAGCUCUGCCCUUGAUCCUAUAUAUAAUGGAAGCUUAAUGUACCAGUUCGGUAUUUAUUGUUCUACUCUGUAAACUGCAAACAUGAUAGGAUUAUAUUUACAAUCUUAUAGAAGUUUGUCGCCUUCUGCUUUCCCUCAGAGUGGUACCUCAGAGUGGUAUCUGAGCCUGAAAAAUCUACAGAGUAUUAUAUCUGGACCGGGAUCACAGAGUUUAUACAUUUAUGACAAAAGGCCUUUCCAAUUGUACGAUUGCUUAACAAAUGCAAUCCUUGCAUCAAGCAUUGACAACUAUCCUGAAGAAAACAUUUUGAAUACAUUAGAACCAAGUGACUGAGUUGGCUGCUGGGCUUCAUACUGGACAAGUAGAGGAGAAAUAUCAAAGUUUGUGCUUGAUUUCAUAAUUCAUGUGCAACCAUUUCAAGGUUUCACCUCAAGUUCUAUUUUCGGUGAUGUUAUGGAUUUGUUCAUUCGGCUUGGGUUUUUUUCUCAUUAACCAGAAAUAUUAUAAUUUUGUAACAACAUAUUUCCAGUUUGGUUUUCCUCUUUAUUCAACAAAAGCUGUGAGAUUCAGAGUCGGA
Nicotiana tabacum (common tobacco) is the source of this 3723-nucleotide non-coding RNA. NCBI's taxonomy places the organism in Eukaryota, Viridiplantae, Streptophyta, Magnoliopsida, Solanales, Solanaceae. The record is from RefSeq and is a predicted model, not a curated record.